GGGCCACAAAGAUAGGUUGGGGGUUCGAGAUGUUCUUGCUAUUGGGCAUGAAGGAUGGUCAUCAGGCCGAGAAAGGUUUGUCCGGGAGCUGGGCUUCCUUGACGGGCUAAGCGGUCAGCCUUUGGUUUAUAGGGGUAUAAUCCUUUCAGAGAGGGUCAAUGCUUCUAUAGAUCAGGGGUUGUUGGAGACUUACGGUCCUGGGGGAAUGGGACGUAUUUUAAAGGUUUUGUUGAAUUACAACCAGAUUAUGUGUAGGCAUUGGCUUGCUCUUUUUUUCUUAGCUUACGUUGUAGAAGUUCUUUUUUGGGUUGUUAUUUCUUAGGUGUCUCUUGUCUUGAGAACUUAUUUUGAUCAGUUUGAUUGGAGGCUAAGAGUUGGUGGGGUCUUUUGCUUUCUUUUACCCUAUUUUAUUGUCUAUUCUUUUUUAAGUCCUGUGUUUUUAAGGAUAGGAAGGCUUGAGCUUGUUUUUAGGUGGUUUGUACUGACCUUAGCUAAGUUUUUUAGGGAGCAUGAAUGGACUAAGAAAGCUGGAAGUGCUCAUUUUUUGACUUUUAUCUCAGUUCUUUUAUUGAGUGUUAAUUUGGUGGGUAUACUUCCUUUUGUUAAGGGUGUUAGGGUUAUGCCUGUUUUCACUUUAAUUACGGGGCUUUCUUUGUGGAGGUUAGGAAGGUUGGCUACUGUGUGGGGUAUUGGAAAGUUCGCUAAAGGCGUAUGGGUUAAGGGGGCUCCUUUACCUCUUAACUUGUUUGUCGUAUGUGCUGAGCUUCUUAGUUGGACUAUUCGUCCUUUUAUUUUGGGAAUUCGGUUGCUUGUUAAUGUCUCUUGCGGGCACAUUAUUCUUGCUCUUUUGGGGGAGCUGGUGAGGUUUUUUGCUUGGGAGGGGAAGGUGGUAGGGUUAGUUGC
This 903-nucleotide ribosomal RNA is filed under the name Argopecten purpuratus. Its description in RNAcentral is "12S ribosomal RNA". Lineage: Eukaryota; Metazoa; Mollusca; Bivalvia; Pectinida; Pectinidae. The record is from RNAcentral.